Molecule: ribosomal RNA, 296 nt
Filed under: uncultured Anaerolineaceae bacterium
Lineage: Bacteria; Bacillati; Chloroflexota; Anaerolineae; Anaerolineales; Anaerolineaceae
Description: partial 16S ribosomal RNA
Rfam family: Bacterial small subunit ribosomal RNA
Source: RNAcentral
GUCGGUUAAGUCCGCUAACGAGCCGCAACCCUCGCUGUGUGUUACAAGUGUCACACGGAACUGCCGGUCAUAAACCGGAGGAAGGUGGGGAUGACGUCAAGUCAGCAUGGCCUUUAUAUCCUGGGCUACACACACGCUACAAUGGGAAGGGACAAUAGGUUGCGAAGCCGCGAGGCGGAGCCAAUCCAGCAAAACUUCCCUCAGUUCAGAUUGCAGGCUGCAACUCGCCUGCAUGAAGUUGGAGUUGCUAGUAAACGCAGGUCAGCCAUACUGCGUUCGAAUACGUUCCCGGGCUU